GCUGAGAAAACAUGGAACGAUUUUUUACAACAUCUCUCUCCACUCUGCCGCAAAUUAAGUUCGAGGACAUCAACCGAAUUGAUGCAGAAAAUUCUUUAACCACGGGGUCAAGACUGAAGAAGGGAUAUAAAUUCUUUGUUGAAGAAUUUAUUCAUGGGUAUCAAGAUGUUUUUGGAGUCUCAUGGAGAGCCUAGUGUCACUGCUUAUGCAUGUAGUUGUGCAGCUGGCAAAGGGUUAUGUAACCAUCUAACAGCUCUGUUGUAUCAAACAGCCCACUAUGUGCAGCUUCAUCUAAAAUCUGUCCCACCAACAGUGGCUUGCACAAGUGAACAACAGAGAUGGCAUCGUCCAAGGACACAGGGUGUCAGUCCAGAGGCAGUGGGUCAACUUGUAGUUCAGAAACCAUGUUCUUUGGGGAAGACAGGAGUAAAGUCUACACUGUACAAAGCUCACACAGGUCCACUUCCAGAUCCACACAUCCUGGCUUCUGGAGCAAAACUAAACCAGAUUGACCCAAAACCUUUGUUGGCUCAUAUACUUGGAGGCAUGUCAGAAAUGGAGUUGGUCAGCUCGCAGUUUGGUCCAUUACCCCGGGGCAGUCCUCUUUCGUACCACUAUCCUCUCACAGCUGCUGAUCAACCUACAGUUGAUUUCCCCAACCUGCCAGUGUGUGGCAGUCAGUUUAGUACAAACCUAAAUUUUGUUCCCACUCACCACCAAUCUUUUCAUUUGCAGUCAAUACAAGUGUCACACAUCUUAUCCGGUCAGAUUGAGCACAAUACUCGACUACAGUCAAAUUGUGCUGCCUGGGCACAUGCGCGUCAACCAAGAGUCACCGCAAGCAGGUUUAGAGAAGUCUGCUAUG
Molecule: long non-coding RNA, 865 nt
Filed under: Danio rerio (zebrafish)
Lineage: Eukaryota; Metazoa; Chordata; Actinopteri; Cypriniformes; Danionidae
Description: lncRNA si:ch1073-801g21.1 (ENSDARG00000105309.2)
Source: RNAcentral